RNAcentral lists this ribosomal RNA (399 nucleotides) under Triticum aestivum (bread wheat). RNAcentral's name for it is "partial small subunit ribosomal RNA". The record is from RNAcentral. Lineage: Eukaryota; Viridiplantae; Streptophyta; Magnoliopsida; Poales; Poaceae.
AUGUUGGCGUUUAGAGACACUCUGGAGGUGUGCGAGUUGGUGGAUUUGGGCUUCUCCGGAGUACCGUUUACUUAUGAUAACAAACGCAGCGGCAACGGAAACGUGAGGGUCAGGUUGGAUCGGGCUGUAGCAUGUAACGCAUGGAGAAACCUGUUUCCCUAUGCUUUGGUUAAACAUGUUCCAUCACCAUGUUCUGAUCAUGUGGUUUUGGUGCUUAAAGGAGAGGAGGAACAAAGACCACUGGGUGGGGGCGUUCGUCGGUACGAACUUUUUUGGGAGAGGGACCCGGUGUUGCCAGAAGUGGUCAAAACCGCUUGGGACUUAGUUGGCUCGGUUGAUAGCAUGGCUGACCUACAGCAAGCACUCUCGAAAACUAUGUCAGCAUUAAGAUCGUGGAGU